This 406-nucleotide ribosomal RNA is filed under the name uncultured bacterium. RNAcentral describes it as "partial 16S ribosomal RNA". It matches the Rfam family "Bacterial small subunit ribosomal RNA", at positions 28 to 526 of the family's 1533-position model. The record is from RNAcentral.
GACGAACUCUGGCGGCGUGCUUAACACAUGCAAGUCGCACGAGUGGCGAACGGGUGAGUAAUGUAUGGGGAUCUGCCUGAUGUGCGGGGAUAACUACUGGAAACGGUAGCUAAUACCGCAUCUCAUCAGAUACCCCCCUAUGGGAUUUGCUAGUAGGUGAGGUAACGGCGCACCUAGGCGACGCGCCCGAGCUGGUCUGAGAGGAUGAUCAGCGACACGGGGACUGAGACACGGCCCAGACGCCUACGGGAGGCAGCAGUGGGGAAUAUUGCACAAGGGGCGAAAGACUGAUGCAGCCAUGCCGCGUGUAUGAAGAAGGCCUGCGGGGUGUAAAGUACUUUCAGUCGGGAGGCGUUACCGGCAGAAGAAGCACCGGCUAACGCCGUGCCAGCAGCCGCGGUAAUAC